Molecule: ribosomal RNA, 484 nt
Filed under: uncultured bacterium
Lineage: Bacteria
Description: partial 16S ribosomal RNA
Rfam family: Bacterial small subunit ribosomal RNA
Source: RNAcentral
AUUGAACGCUAGCGGGAUGCUUUACACAUGCAAGUCGAACGGCAGCGCGGACUUCGGUCUGGCGGCGAGUGGCGAACGGGUGAGUAAUGUAUCGGAACGUGCCCAGUAGCGGGGGAUAACUACGCGAAAGCGUAGCUAAUACCGCAUACGCCCUACGGGGGAAAGCAGGGGAUCGUAAGACCUUGCACUAUUGGAGCGGCCGAUAUCGGAUUAGCUAGUUGGUGAGGUAACGGCUCACCAAGGCGACGAUCCGUAGCUGGUUUGAGAGGACGACCAGCCACACUGGGACUGAGACACGGCCCAGACUCCUACGGGAGGCAGCAGUGGGGAAUUUUGGACAAUGGGGGCAAUCCUGAUCCAGCCAUCCCGCGUGUGCGAUGAAGGCCUUCGGGUUGUAAAGCACUUUUGGCAGGAAAGAAACGUCGCGGGCUAAUACCCCGUGGAACUGACGGUACCUGCAGAAUAAGCACCGGCUAACUACGUG